RNAcentral lists this ribosomal RNA (344 nucleotides) under uncultured bacterium. Its description in RNAcentral is "bacterial SSU rRNA". It matches the Rfam family "Bacterial small subunit ribosomal RNA", at positions 917 to 1285 of the family's 1533-position model. The record is from RNAcentral.
GGGCCCGCACAAGCGGUGGAGCAUGUGGUUUAAUUCGAUGAUACGCGAGGAACCUUACCAGGGCUUAAAUGUAAGUUGCAUAGACCAGAGAUGGUCUUUUCUUCGGACUACUUACAAGGUGCUGCAUGGUUGUCGUCAGCUCGUGCCGUGAGGUGUCAGGUUAAGUCCUAUAACGAGCGCAACCCCUGUCGUUAGUUGCCAUCAAGUAAAGUUCGGGUACUCUAGCGAGACUGCCGGUGCAAACCGUGAGGAAGGUGGGGAUGACGUCAAAUCAUCACGGCCCUUACGUCCUGGCUACACACGUGCUACAAUGGCAGUGACAAUGGGUUAACCCCCAAAAACUG